AUGCCGCCCCGACCCAAAAAAAAGGGCGACCGAUUUCCUCGGUGCCCGGGCGAGGGAGCGCCCCGUCCGAUGGUGGUUGUGGUGGUCAAGCAGGAGCAGGACGACGACGCGGCCGCCGCCGCCUGGGGCACGUGGGAGGAGCUCGUGCUCGGCGGCGCCGUCCUCCGCCACGGCGCCGCCGACUGGCACGCCGUCGCCGCCGAGCUGCGCGCCCGCUCCCCGUGCUCCUUCUCGCCCAAGGAAUGCGAAGCAAAAUUUUCAGAGAUUCAAGCACGCUACUCUGCAUGCGAUGCUUGGUUUGAGGAGCUUCGCAAGCAGAGAGUUGCUGAAUUGAAAAGGGAGCUGAGGAAAUCAGAAAGUUUUAUUGGGUCCUUGCAGUCUGUGAUCGAGAGUCUCAGCAAUAGCAAACAUGAUAAUGGUAAUAACUUAGGAUGUCACACUGAAUCAUGUUCACACACUGAAAAUGCAGCUGAUACUACUUCCUCGAGCAAAGAAUUGUCCAAAGACAGAUCAUCCGCUGCUAGUUUCACAGAGGAAGCAAGCAACAGUCAAAAAUCUCAGAAAGUUCAAAAUACAUCAGCAGAGACAUUAUCAAAGCCCCAUGCUGAAAAGAAGCUCUGUGCCAAAGAUGGUUUGCUUUGGGGCUCUAGAAAGAAAAGGGGAUUGAGGGAUAAAAGGGCUAUUCUGAUGGCUGUUGAUAGUAGCAGAGAUGGUGAAAAUACAUCUACGCCAUGCAUACAGGGAGAGGGUUCCUCUGAGGGCUGCAUGAAGAAAUUGAAAACUCCAAAGAUAGAGCCUGGUGUAUCUGUGUGCAAAGCUCCAUGCGUACAGAGAGAGGUUCCCUCUGAAGGCUGCAUCAAGGAACUGAAAACUCCAAAGAUAGAGCCUGGUGUAUCUGUGCGCGAGGGAGCAAAACCAAAAUUGGCAGAUAUUAUGAAUAGUAUAUCCGCUCAAGGUGACUGUAAGAUGUUGCAACACCAAAUUGAUAUCCAGCGGAAGAGAGCUAGAUACAAGAAGAUGAUCCGUCAGCAUAUGGACUUCCGAAUCCUUCGUUCAAAGAUAAAGAGUGGUGCUAUCUCUUCUGCCAAGGAGCUCCUAAAAGACAUGCUCGUGUUUGUGAAUAAUGUCCUUACUUUUUUUCCAAAGGCCACACUGGAGCACAUGGCUGCAAUCGAACUUCGAGGUCUCAUAUGCAAAACGUGGCAACAGAGUUCAGUCGUUCUCUCCAUGAAUUGUGAAGCAGCAGGGAUAGCUAGUGACCCUGUAAUCAAGAAGACCAAGGCAAGGAUCGCUAGUGGCCCUGUAAUCAAGAAGACAGCUGCUGAGCCUGUACUAAAGAAGACCAUGGCAGCGAUAGCUAGUGAGCCUGUAAUAAAGAAGACAGUGGCUGGGAUAGCAAGUGAACCUGUGAUGAAGAAGACCGGGGCAGGGAUAGCUUGUGAGGCUGUAAUCAAGAAGACUGCUGCAAGGGUAGCAAGUGACCCCAUAAGCAAGAAGGCGGCGGCAGGGGCCACUAGUGCCCCUGCAUCCAAGAAGAUUUCUCGAACAUUGCCGCCAAUACGUCACGUGCCUCGUGAUGCAAAGAGAAGCAAGGUUUCCUCAAGGGAGACUGGAAGCACUGUCAGUCAGGGUGAGAGCGAGACCAGGGACGUCCCCGCCGUUGCAGCGGCAGCAGCCGAGGAAGAAACCGUCGAGAGAAGUGCGCCCGCCGCCAAGAAGCGAGGGGUCGGGCGGCCUCCAAAGAGUGGACAGAAGCGUGCUGCACCGCCGCCGCAAGACAGUCCUAGCAAAGGCAGGAAGAGGAGUCGACGGUGA
This 1815-nucleotide ribosomal RNA is filed under the name Triticum aestivum (bread wheat). RNAcentral's name for it is "partial small subunit ribosomal RNA". Lineage: Eukaryota; Viridiplantae; Streptophyta; Magnoliopsida; Poales; Poaceae. The record is from RNAcentral.